UGCGGACAGCCCAGCUGGUGUAUGACCGA
RNAcentral lists this non-coding RNA (29 nucleotides) under Homo sapiens (human). The record is from RNAcentral. Lineage: Eukaryota; Metazoa; Chordata; Mammalia; Primates; Hominidae.